Molecule: non-coding RNA, 30 nt
Filed under: Rattus norvegicus (Norway rat)
Lineage: Eukaryota; Metazoa; Chordata; Mammalia; Rodentia; Muridae
Source: RNAcentral
UAGGUAAGACUCUGAUGACCUUCUCAACCC